CCUCGUUGGAGUGAGGUGAAAUCUCAUUGUAGUUUUGAUUUGCAUUUCACUAAUGGCUAAUGAUUGUGAACGUUUCCUCGUGUAGCUGUUAGCUACCUGAAUGUCUUCUUUAGUGAAGUGUUUUUUCAUAUCUUUUGCCCAUUUUUUAAUUGGGUUAUUUGUCUUGUCGUAGUUGAGAUUUUGCAGUAUCAUGUAGAUUUUCAAGAUCAGGUGCUGAUCAGAAAUGUCAUAGCUAAAAACUUUUUCCCAGUCUGUAGGUAAUCUUUUUACUCUUUUGGUGAAUUCUUUGGAUGAGCAUAGGUGUUUGAUUUUUAGGAGCUCCCAGUUAUCUAGUUUUUCUUCUACAUUCUUUAUAAUGUUUUGUAUACUGUUUAUGCCAUGUAAUGGGGCUCCUAGCAUUGUCCCUAUUUUUUCUUCCAUGAUCUUUAUCAUUUUAGAUUUUAUAUUUAGGUCUUUGAUCCAUUUUGAGUUCAUUUUUGUGUAUGGUGUGAGGUAUGGGUCUUGUUUCACAUUUUUGCAGAUGGAAAUCCAGUUACACCAGCAACAUUUGUUAAAAAAAAAAAACAAAAAACUGUGUUUUCCCCAUUUAACUGUUUUGGGGCCUUUUGUCAAAUAUCAACUGUGCAUAUGUGGAUGGAUUUAUGUCUGGAUUCUCAAUUCUGUUCCAUUGGUCUAUGUAUCUGUUGUUGUACCGGCACCAGGCUAUUUUGACUACUGUGGUGGUACAACAGGUUCUAAAAUCAGGUGGAGUGAGGCCUCCCACUUUGUUCUUCUUUUCCAGUAAUGCUUUACUUAUUCAGGGCCUCUUUCUCUUCCUUAUAAAGUUGGUGAUUUGUUUCUCCAUCUCAUUAAAGAAAGUUGUUGGAAUUUGGAUCGGAAUUGCAUUACAUCUAUAGAUCGCUUUUGGUAGAAUAGACAUUUUUAUAAUGUUAUGUCUUCCUAUCCAUGAGCAAGUUAUGUUUUUCCACUUAUGUAGGUUUUUUUGUUUUCUUGCAGAAGUGUACUAUAGUUUACUUUGUAUAAGUCUUUUGCAUCUCUGGUAAGAUUUAUUCCUAAGUAUUUUGUCUUCUUGGGGGCUAUUGUAAAUGGUAUUGAUUUGAUGAUUUCCUCUUGGGUGUUCUUUUUGUUGGUGUAGAGGAAUCCAACUGAUUUUUGUAUGUUUAUCUUGUGUCCUGAUACUCUGCUAAACUCUUCUAUUAGUUUCAGUAGAUUUCUUGAGGAUUCCUUAGGGUUUUCUGUGUAUAAGAUCAUGUCAUCUGCAAAUAGAGGUAAUUUUACUUGUUCCUUGCCAAUCUGUAUGCCCUUUAUUUCUUUAUCUAGCUUAAUUGCUCUGGCUAGGACCUCAGGCUGGAAGAGUUUUAAAGUGCCUAAUUGUAAAAGCCUACAUUGCCUUGAAGAGACUGUUAGUGGAAUUAUGGACAUCAAAGACAAUUCUGGUGAGGGCUCAGAAGGAAGUGAGGAGAGCUGUAACACCAGAUAUGGUGCAGAUGAUGAGACAUGGUGGCAGAAAAAUGGCAGCAGCAGAACCAGGAGACUGGCAAUACACGACUAGGGAGCUGACCCACAGAGUGAGAGAGCUGAGUUCCUUUGGGCAGAAGGCUUCCUGGUGGAGUGGGGUGCCUCUGGGCAUUUAUUGAUAGAGCUAAUGAGCUUUGUAACACAUGCUUGAGGAGGGCAGAGGCCGGGCUGGCCCAAGAGGCCCAAGGAGCUGAGAGGCCAAGAUACCAGGAAACAGAAGCUGAAGAGACAAGGAUCAUGGGAAGCAGAGCUGCCUCAGUCUCAAAGGGUGGGGCCACAACCUCUGGGGUCUCCAGUGUGGAAUCACAGCCAGCUGGAUCUCAAAGGAUGGGGCCAUGGCCUUCUAGGUUUUAUAGAGUCAGAUCUUCACCAACUCAACUCUGGAGUGUAGGGCUGACUUUCACAAGUCCCAGGGGGAUGGGGCAAGAUCUGCUGCCCAAAGCUAAGGUGGCAGGGUUGCCAUGCCCAAAGGGCAGAAGAAUGAGGUCCACUGAAGCCAAGGGGGUAGGAUCACCACUCAGACCGAGUAGGAGAAUGGGGCUACCCAAAUCUGAGGGAGCAGAGUUGCUGUCACAGUGGACCUGGAAGGUGGAGCUGAAGCCCAGGGCUGAGGGGUCUCCACUCAGAAUCUGGAGAGUAUGACUAACACCCAGAGUCUGGAGGGCAGAGCCAUUGUCUAAAUGAUCUCAGAGAACAGAUUAUUUUCAAUCCGGGAGAGCUAAUGUAAUGUGUUCUGCUGACUUGGUUGGUGCCUGUUAUCCCUUUUUUCCUUUCAAUUUCUCUCAUUUGUAGUGGAAAUGUCUACCUUGUACCUGUUCCAACAUUGUGCUUUGGAAGCAGAUGCCUUGUAUUCUGAAUUUCACAGAUGAAGAGAAACUUUGCCCCAGGGUGGAAUUUUCACUUGGAUUUGAUUACCUUGUGCCUACCAGAUACACAGAAGUUUCAAAGGAAAUCUGUUGACUAAAUGGAAGGAGUGGUGAAGACUUGAGAACAAAUAGGCCACUUGAGUUGGAGGCUACCUGGUCAGUGGGAAACCCAUGAGGUUUGGAGUUUGAAGAGCUAUGAAUUCAUAGAGAGAUCAAACAGCAGUGGGAGCAUUGACAGCGUGGCUUUGUUCUUUUUGUGUCCGCAUUAUUGGUAUGGUCUUCAAUCUGAGUACCCCUGCAAGAAUCCUUUUAAGGUACAUACAGAUCCUAUAACAGUUGAUUUAGGUUGAAAUAGAUAAUAUCGUUAAAUUAAUUUUACUGGUCUCAUGUAAACUGUGAUACGUCAUAGUCUGCUUAAAGUAGACAGAGGAGGGAGGGUACCCUUCUGUCUGCCCUGCCCCUUCCUGUUGCGACCCUGAGUAGCUCAUGAGACAUGUGCCAUCUGACACAGGGACAGAGUGGGUGUGCUUGUGUCUAUGCGUGUCUUCAAAAUUACAAAAGCUUAAUUUCUUUCAUUCUUUCUCUCUUUCUUUCCAGACAAAAACGAACAUAAAUAGUUCUAUUAUAUUGUUCCUGUACCCUGUUGGGAUAUGUACACCCAUUUUGGGGACCCCUUUUAUGUAUUACACCACACAAGUGUAUUUUCUAACACAUUGAUAUUUGGUGUCCUAUAGACCUGUCUCCACCACCUGUUUGCCAGUUUAUCGUACUGUGGUGGCUUACGAUGCUGGAAGCUUUGCUACCAGUAUUUAAAAUACUAGCAGGGUCAUCCACAGUGGACAGGUUUCAGCGGAGCUUCCAGACUAAGACAAAGGAGGAAGAAAGGCCUGGUGAUCUUCCAAAAGUUAGCCAAUGAAAGCCCUGUAGAUUAAACAGAAUAUUGCCUGAUACAGUACUAGAAGAUGAGCCCCUAGGUUGGUCGGCUCGUGAAGAUGACGCGUGACUGGGUCACAUUUUGUUCUGUUAUGCAUAAGGUGACUGAGCGGGAGCUGAGUUGACGGCAUCUAAAAACAAUAUGAACCUACCUGGAACGUUUCCUGCCCCUAGAAGUUUGGGUUGGGCUCCUUGCAUCUUCACAUUCUGCCUGUCCCCAAACUGCCCCACGAUGCUGCCAAGUGGCCUUGGAAGUGGCUAUGUUUUAGAAAAGUCUGCAAAGUUGGCAAACGUGCAGGGGUGGUGAACUGUGAGGGACAGCCUCCUGCCGGAGUAAAAACUGCUGACAGCCCCAGCUGCCUGCAGCGGCUCUCUGUCAUCUUUGUAAACAGGGUCCAACUGGUCUGCUUUAUCUCUCCCUGCAAAAUGCAGAUUUAAUAGGAAGUGCCCUCAGAAUCAUUGCUGCCAGGACGAGUCUCCAAAGGCAUUAGGGAUAACAGUUUAAUAACUGCAGAAAGAGCUUAGGUGCUUCGCUGUGUUGGGUAUGUCUGAGUUAGCUAGUGAAAAACGAACUUGGGACAUUAAACCCUUUUAUCACUCAGAUAGAGCAAUAAGGGAAAAAAUCCAUUCCUUGGCAGGGGAUGAGUUUACUAGCUUCUGAAGGGGGUGUGUGUUUGAAUGUGAUAGGAAAGGGAGCAUUUGUCAGAGUGGAAGGGGGAUCAAAAGACAAAUGAACUCUGUGAGUUAAAUACGAGCUUUAAAUUAUUCCUCUUUGAACUGCUCCAGCUAUCAGCAGAAUGUGCUGCACAGAAAGCCAGCCUGUCUUCCCAAGGUCUGUGGGCCACACGGGGGCCUCUAUCUGCGAGGGUUGCAUUUUAAAGGGCAGAUAGCCAAGGCUGGGGAGGCCAGAUAAAUGUCUACUUAGUUGGGCAGUAGAGUCACUUUUGCUAAUCUAUUUACCUAGGAACCUGCAGAAAAUAAAAGGUUUAGACAUAUUACUUGGGUGAGUUAAAAGUCAUUCAUACAGAGUGAGGAUGGAUAAAUCAGGCUAACUUCGCCAAGUGGUUUCCAAAUUUUGAUUCAUGGAGUCCCCUAAGGGUUUACCUUCUAUGGAAGAUUGCACAAAUGGCCACACCUUCCACCCCUUCGUUCAUGCCCAUGUGUGCUGAUGUAACCAAACGCAGGGUCUUAUUCUGCUUUAUUUAGCUGAUGGAAAUAAGACAGACGACACACCACCAGCUGUAAGGGAAACAGAAAGUGGGGAUUUAUUGUUUGUGCAAACAAGCAGCAGCAUGGGGCUCAGCAGCUGAAAGACCAUGUGCUUGCUGUCUGAGGGGGUUGGGAAGCUUUUUAUUUCUAAUGGCGUCUGGGGGUUGGGUUUGGUGCCCGGAACUCUCUGCCCUCGGCCAUCCCAUGUCCACAUUUGGAAGUCCGGGUGUUGAAUGAUGUUCAGGUCCAGGGAUGGAUUGAGGCCGCAGAUCUUCGGGUCCUGCACAUGCUCCAAAAUCUUGAUUUGCGCGUGCGUGGGAUGCUGGCACCAAAUUCAAACUGCGGUUAGGUCCACAGUGCGGUCAGGCCGAACCACAAUUCCAAGCUGUGGCCUGGCCGCUGCGAGGGGUGAGGGGAAGUUUCGGCGGAGGCUGCAGUGACAUUGGAGACCCUCCCAUCAAGAGGUGGAGACUGUUGCUCUACUCUUGAAUCUAGGUUGGACGUGAGACUUGCCUUGGCCACUGGGGUGUUAGUAAUUAUGAGACAAGCAGAGGCUUAGAAAGGAUUUGUGCAGGGGGCUUGCCCUCAUGAUGCUCUUGGAAACUCCUGCCUAUACCACCAUGCGAAGAAGCCCAGGCUUUUCUACAGGAUGAGGAAAACACAGCCAGCUCAGCCUGUGAGCAGAGUUGCCGAGCUGGUGGGUGGCUGACUGCGGAUUCACAAACGGCCUCAGCUGAGAUCAGCAAGAGAACUAGCUACCUGAGCCCAGCCCAAAUUGCCGACUCACAAAAUCGUAAGCUAAAUAAAUUGCUUUUGUCUUAAUUAAGUCACUGGUUUUGGGGUGUGUUAUGCAGCAAAAGCUAACGUAUCUUCAGGCAAAAGCACGGAACCAAGGUGCAGCAUUCAGUGUCGUUGUUAGCUGCCAUUGGGUCGGCUCAUGGCGACCUUAUAACAGGACCAAGCUCUUGCCUGGUCCUGUCCCAUCUUCAUGUGUUUGAGUCCACUGUUGUGGCUACUAUAUAAAUCUAUAUCAUUGAGGGUUUCUCUCAUUUUUGCUGACUCCAGGGGUAAUAUUCAGGGCCCCCAAUUUGGAUUCAUGUAGAAUAGCUCUAAUUUAUUUUUUUCAUUUAAGCUCUUGUUUGCAUAAAAGAUUUGGGGGAUACAGUUGAUGGAGGGAGAGCGUUUGGCUUAGUCCACAGCAUCCCAGAAUACUCCUAUUGCUGAUGAAAGAGCCUUGAGUCAUCAGACCUGCAGUUGCUGCCUGUGGUUUUAUAGUUCGGAAGUGUGGGAAGAGUUCCUAGGAAUGGCUGAUUUGUCUCCCAGUUAACCUGUUCCUUUGUUACUCGGAGUGCUGCACAGCUAGCCAUCUCAGUUUAGGAUCAGCCUCACCAGGGAAAACAGGAGCAAAUCUGUUGUGGGUUUGCUGCAGACACUUGAGUUCGCUCACCGAAAGUGAGACUUUCCUUUGUGUUCUGGCGGUAAUUAUCCCCACGAUCAUAUGAUGACGUUGCUGAUGCCAUAAGAUGGGAUUUGCACUUGAGGAGGAAAGUGGGAGUUAGCCUUCUGUUGGGAAGAAGAGAACAAAAAGAAAUGUGAUGCUCCUAAAGGUACAGCCUUAGGGUCCUCUAGACAAGGGAUAUAGAAAUUCAGUCUUUAUGUUAUUUCUUGCUACAUAGUCAUGUUAUUCUUCCAUCAGACUUUUACAUCAUUAUACAGUUACCUGUGCACAGUGGAAAUCUGUAGGUUUUUCCUGUCCAUCAUUAUUCCACUUUCUUCCGAUAGUGCUCUGCUUUUCCUUUGAGUUAUUAUUCUUCCCUCCAUUGCACACAGUGUUGGUGAGACUGUUGUUCCAGGUGUCCACACAUCCCUGGUCAAGGUUGGCACAUGGUCCAAGCUUCGAUGACAAAGAAUUUAAAAGUUAAAUGACACUAAGACAGACUAUGGCUGGUGCUGAUUCAUACCCCAAGAGCCUGUCAGUCUGUUUCUUCAUCCCUGUGCCCAGGAUCUGUCUUGUUCCUUUUCUUUUGAAGGUUGUUGUUGCUGAUAUGGGCCACCGAGUCGGUUCUGACUCAUAGCGACCCUACGUACAACGGAACGAAACACUACCUGGUCCUGCACCAUCCUCACAAUCAUCGCUAGAUUUCCUUUAAUUCUGUGAGCUGCCUUGAACCCUCACAGUGAAUUUUUUUGCAUAAGUAACCAGUCAGUUUUUGUUGGCAGCAGCUAAAGAACACUGAUUGAUAUACUUUUCUCAGCUAAUGUUACAACCUAUGGUCUUUAUAAAGAAUCUGAUUCUCCUCUCUAUCUGGGCAUAUGGUUGAAUGGCAUUUUCUUGUCUUCUCUGAUGUGGCCAUAUGAUUUUCUUUGGUUAAUGACAAUUGAGUGAAAGUGUUGCUUCCUCCUGCCGUGGUGAGUAUGGAUGAAUGUAACAAGGCAGGCCCUCAAUCAGCCUCAACCUCCCAGUGAUUCUGAUGAGCAAAAUCUUCCUAUCCCCUUCCCUUUACUCACAUUAGACACAUAGAGUGAGUGUGAAAAUAACCUUUGUGACGAUGAGCCACUGGGAUUUAGGGUUUUGUAUUACCAUGGCAUAACCUGUCCUGUUCUGACUCAUAGAUCACCCUUGGACAAGUCAACAUCCAUAUUAAUAGCUUGUCAUUCAAUUUAGCCUUAUAUUUCUUUACCUGUUUUUCCUGAUCUCUGUUCUCUAUCAGCCAAGGAUUGAUAAAGUUAUACCUUUAGAAACUAAUUAUAAGGCAAGAUAGCUAGCUCAACCAGAAUUCAAAAUAUAGCAGCAUGCAUUCAUUUCAACACUUUUUGUUGAGUGCCCAACAUUGAUUUUAUUAUUACACUGGUGCUAUAAGAGAUACAAAGGAAUAGAACUUAUAAUUUGAAUAAAUUAAUGAUCCAAUUGGAGAUUCAAGAGUGGAAUGAGUUAAUAUCAAAGAAAGGUGACAGUAUAAGAGUAAGAAGUACUCUAGGGAAUCUAGAAGUAUCUAUUUAAGUGGCAGAGUCAAAGUGGGGUAUGAGAUUCUAGAUGGAAGAGAUGAUUGUGCGUUAGGGCAGCUUUUCAAUGAGGCAGCGACUUGGCUGGGCUUGAAAGUUUGGACUGAAAGAGAGGGAGGGGUUUUCCAUGGAGAGGAGACAAUAUAAGCAAAGUUACAUAGUGAGAGAACACGAAUUUAGAAAAUCAAUCUGAUUCAAGUGGAAGGGAGUAGUAAGAGAUAAGAUUGAAAAGGUAAGUUAGAGUUGGAUUAGAGAGAGCCUGGAGUUAGUUUGGAAAAUUUCCUUGGAUAAUGGAAAGUUGGUGUGGAGUCAUGGAAAAUUUAUAGGAGAGAAGUGAUAGUGGGAUAAGUGUUAGGCUUUAUGAAGACUAAUUUGGGAGGGAAAAUUGGACAGAGUAAGAGCUUGGAUAUAGGAAAACUAGCUGGGAGGGUAUCAUGAUAAUUUGAGGAUGACAUAUUGAGAGUCUAGAAUUAGGAGAUAGAGAGAAUGGGAAAAAUAAAAAAAUUCAAAAUACAGAAACAAAAAAAGAAUUUAAGAAAAUUUCAUAACUGACAUGCUGUAAAAGAAAGAAUUAAAAAGAUUCUGAAGUUUUAACUCAAGGGAAUGAGCAGAAAUA
Loxodonta africana (African savanna elephant) is the source of this 8145-nucleotide long non-coding RNA. RefSeq lists it as uncharacterized. The record is from RefSeq and is a predicted model, not a curated record. Lineage: Eukaryota; Metazoa; Chordata; Mammalia; Proboscidea; Elephantidae. The transcript has 4 exons.